GACGAACGCUGGCGGCGUGCCUAAUACAUGCAAGUCGAGCGGACGAAUCGAAAGCUUGCUUUUGAUUCGUUAGCGGCGGACGGGUGAGUAACACGUGGGCAACCUGCCCUGUAGACGGGGAUAACACCGAGAAAUCGGUGCUAAUACCGGAUAACACGAAAUGUCGCAUGACGUUUCGUUGAAAGACGGCGCAAGCUGUCGCUACAGGAUGGGCCCGCGGGGCAUUAGCUAGUUGGUGAGGUAACGGCUCACCAAGGAGACGAUGCGUAGCCGACCUGAGAGGGUGAUCGGCCACACUGGGACUGAGACACGGCCCAGACUCCUACGGGAGGCAGCAGUAGGGAAUCUUCCGCAAUGGACGAAAGUCUGACGGAGCAACGCCGCGUGAGCGAAGAAGGCCUUCGGGUCGUAAAGCUCUGUUGUUAGGGAAGAACAAGUAACGCAGUAACUGGCGUUACCGUGACGGUACCUAACGAGAAAGCCACGGCUAACUACGUG
This 498-nucleotide ribosomal RNA is filed under the name uncultured bacterium. RNAcentral's name for it is "partial 16S ribosomal RNA". It matches the Rfam family "Bacterial small subunit ribosomal RNA", at positions 28 to 507 of the family's 1533-position model. The record is from RNAcentral.